ACGCAAGUAUGUACACACACACACACCAGUACUGUAGUCAGUUUUAUUCCGGUACCACGGGUGAGAAAGUCAUACGGAUAGUGAUGGACAAGUGGCUGCUGAAGCGUCACCAGUUUUUUGUCUACCUCAUCACCUUUUUAUCCACAGCGUUUGGCGAUGUAGUGUAUUUCCACGCACAUCGCAACUCCUCCAUCGAGUUCUCCUGCGUGCCUCCUGAAAGGUCCGACAAGCUGUUUGCUUUUUCUCUGACUCGUGAAUGGCUUAAACAGAGAGAAGUGCUGUAUCACAACUUCCAAGAUAAGCCCACUCUUAAAGAUAUGACGUUUAAGGAUCGCAUCUCGGAGCAAACUGAACCCAUGAACUAUAGCAUCCACUUGAGCAUCAGGCACUUGCAGGGCUACGACACCGACAUGUACAUGUGCAUGUUCCACUACAGCAAAACCACAGGCUUUAAUAACCUGUCAGGGAACAAGUUCGUCCUAUACGUCCAGGAUUACCAUAUCGAGCCGUGUAGCUGCUACAGUUACACACCACUGCUGUUCUCUCUGUCUGCUGCAGCAGGACUGCUCUUCUUCAUCAUCCUCAUCCUCACUGCAGUGCACUGUAUGAAGCCACGUAGAGGACAUCAGACCAAGCAAGAGCUCUUGAUUCCCAUCUAUGAGGAGAUGAAUGGUGUGCGAGAGAAGACGAACUCUCGCGUGCAGGAGGAUGACAUCUCAUCUCUCUACGUUCAGCCGAAGAAAGAGAAUCCCUACAUCAACUGAUAUCAACUAAGCUUCAAGACGCUUCCUGUUUGAAGAAAUUAAUUGGCCACAGUAUUCAGUUGAGAGUUUUCUUUGCUGCAUGUUUUGGAUCGUUGUCCUACUGGAAGCUCCACCCACGUCUCAUCUUCAUCAUCCUGGUGGAUGGCAGCAGAUUCUUAUCUAGAAUCUCCCGGUAAAGGGCUCCAUUCAUCGUUCCUUCAAUUAUAUGAAGUCUGCCAGUACCAUGUGAUGAAAAACAGCCGCACACCAUGAUGCUUCCACCUCCAAACUUCACUGUUGGUAUAGUGAUUUAAGGUGCUGUGCAGUUCCAUUUCUUCUCCAAACAUGGUGUUUAGUAUAACAGCCAAAAAGUAAAAUUUUGCUCUCGGCUGACCAGACUACACUCUCCCAGUAUUUCAUAGGCUUGUCCAAAUGAGUUGCAGCAAACUUUAAAUGUGCUUUGACAUGCCUUUUCUUUAGUAAUGGAGUCUUGCAAGGUGAGCGUGAGCAGUGGAGUGCAUUGCCUAUUGUUUUCUCUGUGAUGAUGGCACCUACUGCCUCCAAGUGUUUCUGGAGCUCUUUCCGAGUGGUCCUUGGCUCUUGGGCUAAUCUUCUGACUAUUCUUUUGACUCCCUGGUCAGAAAUCCUGCAAGGAGCUCUUGUGCAUGGCCGGUUGAUGACGGAGUGAUGUUGCUUCCAUUUGCAGAUAAUGGCCCCAAUGGUGCUUACUGGAGGAUGCAGAAGUUUUGAAAUACGUCUGUAUCUGAUUUCAUCAAUAUGUUUUGCAACAAUAAGGUUGCGAAGGACUUGGGAGACCACUUUGCUUUUACCCAUCAUGAGAUGUUUCUUGUGUGACACUUUGGUAAUGAAAAGCCAUUUUAUAGACCAUCAAUUUACUAAAACAUCUGAUAUUAAUUUGCACAGAUAGGGAGUAUAAUUACUUACAGAUUUCAGCUGGUUCCAUGCCUUGGAGAACUUCUUUUUCUUAUCAUGUUCAAUAAUUUUUUCCUGUGUCAUUCCACUUUAUUACACAUAACUUUAAUUAUGGACUUUAAUGUUGUGAAUUCUUUAUAUUUCCAGAUUUCUUGAGUUAAUACUGAUAUCUUGUGAAAAUUUCAUGUGAAUAGCCUCACUUGAAA
Molecule: RNA transcript, 1882 nt
Organism: Ictalurus punctatus (channel catfish)
Lineage: Eukaryota; Metazoa; Chordata; Actinopteri; Siluriformes; Ictaluridae
Gene: cd7al
Gene name: cd7 antigen-like
Exons: 6
Source: RefSeq, a predicted model, not a curated record